GUUUGAUCCUGGCUCAGAUUGAACGCUGGCGGCAUGCGUAACACAUGCAAGUCGAACGGUGUUUGGUGCUUGCACCAGACAUAGUGGCGGACGGGUGAGUAAUGCGUAGGAAUCUGUCUUAGAGAGGGGGACAACCCGAGGAAACUUGGGCUAAAACCGCAUAUUCUCGAGAGAGGAAAGCAGGGGACCGGAAACGGCCUUGUGCUCUAAGGUGAGCCUACGUCGGAUUAGCUAGUUGGUAGGGUAAAGCCUACCAAGGCGAUGAUCUGUAGCUGGUCUGAGAGGACGGACAGCCACACUGGGACUGAGACACGGCCCAGACUCCUACGGGAGGCAGCAGGUGGGGAAUUAUUGGACAAUGGGGGGAACCCUGAUCCAGCGAUGCCGCGUGUGUGAAGAAGGCCUGCGGGUUGUAAAGCACUUUCAGUGGGAAAGAGAAGCGUCUUGUGAAUAAUGGGACGUGGAGACGUUACUCACAGAAGAAGCACCGGCUAACUCUGUG
Molecule: ribosomal RNA, 502 nt
Filed under: uncultured bacterium
Lineage: Bacteria
Description: partial 16S ribosomal RNA
Rfam family: Bacterial small subunit ribosomal RNA
Source: RNAcentral